AAGGAAGGCAAAAUGGAGGAAAAGUGUCUGAAUUCUCUACAAUACAACACAACUCAGUAGGCAUAUCAGGUUGGGUUGUGACCAAGGAAAUAUUUCUCUCUCCAGCCACAAGCGGUAACACAACUGAAGCUGCUGAGUGUCGCAAGCACUGCUGGAGCUAAUUUUAAGACUUAAAUGCAAGUCAGUGAUCUUUGACAUUCCGACUUAAGGUUUGCAGUGCAUUUGAGAUGCAAAAGAGCAUAAAAAAACAGCGGCUGUCUGUCCCUGUCCCCUGAGUUGAGGCCACCCUGAGGCCAGUGACAAUGGCAUGGCAAGGAUCAAUACCACAUACACACAUAAACACACACUCUGCCACCCUGAGUGAGGGAUCGAUGAAGGGAUAGAGAGAGUCUAGGGAAAAGGAGACUUCCUCUGGUUUUUAUCUCUCCCGUCUCUCAUCAGCACCUUAAACUCUUCAUGACAUUCUAGCUAAAGGAUAGCCACACAUUUUGGUGUUUAAUUGUUGUUCAAUAUGAACAAUUUUUACAUUAGAGAUUAGAUUAGAGAUUUGAGCAAAUUAAAUUAACAUGUCAUUGACUUUGAAGCACACUGAACCUCAAUGAAUUUACACUUUUCUGAACAUCUUGUCUCUAAACUCUUAUGUAGAGAAAAUUCAUUUGAGAAUAGAUCAAAUUAGUAAUUUAAUUCAGUGAUAAAAUCAGACUUUUUAGGUUGAAUAGUCUGUACAAUAUCAUUUAGCAUUUAUAGAAUACAUACACAUGUCGUUCAAGGCCUGAUUAAUAUA
Molecule: long non-coding RNA, 784 nt
Organism: Thunnus maccoyii (southern bluefin tuna)
Lineage: Eukaryota; Metazoa; Chordata; Actinopteri; Scombriformes; Scombridae
Exons: 3
Source: RefSeq, a predicted model, not a curated record